This 253-nucleotide ribosomal RNA is filed under the name uncultured bacterium. RNAcentral describes it as "partial 16S ribosomal RNA". It matches the Rfam family "Bacterial small subunit ribosomal RNA", at positions 524 to 776 of the family's 1533-position model. The record is from RNAcentral.
UACGUAGGUGGCAAGCGUUGUCCGGAUUCAUUGGGCGUAAAGGGUGCGUAGGCGGCGCGGUAAGUCGGGUGUGAAAUUUCGAGGCUUAACUUCGAAACUGCAUUCGAUACUGCCGUGCUUGAGGACUGGAGAGGAGACUGGAAUUUACGGUGUAGCGGUGAAAUGCGUAGAUAUCGUAAGGAAGACCAGUGGCGAAGGCGGGUCUCUGGACAGUUCCUGACGCUGAGGCACGAAGGCCAGGGGAGCAAACGGG